AGAGUUUGAUCCUGGCUCAGAUUGAACGCUGGCGGCAGGCCUAACACAUGCAAGUCGAGCGGUAGAGAGGAGCUUGCUCCUCUUGAGAGCGGCGGACGGGUGAGUAAUGCCUAGGAAUCUGCCUGGUAGUGGGGGAUAACGUUCGGAAACGGACGCUAAUACCGCAUACGUCCUACGGGAGAAAGCAGGGGACCUUCGGGCCUUGCGCUAUCAGAUGAGCCUAGGUCGGAUUAGCUAGUUGGUGAGGUAAUGGCUCACCAAGGCGACGAUCCGUAACUGGUCUGAGAGGAUGAUCAGUCACACUGGAACUGAGACACGGUCCAGACUCCUACGGGAGGCAGCAGUGGGGAAUAUUGGACAAUGGGCGAAAGCCUGAUCCAGCCAUGCCGCGUGUGUGAAGAAGGUCUUCGGAUUGUAAAGCACUUUAAGUUGGGAGGAAGGGCAGUAAAUUAAUACUUUGCUGUUUUGACGUUACCGACAGAAUAAGCACCGGCUAACUCUGUGCCAGCAGCCGCGGUAAUACAGAGGGUGCAAGCGUUAAUCGGAAUUACUGGGCGUAAAGCGCGCGUAGGUGGUUUGUUAAGUUGGAUGUGAAAUCCCCGGGCUCAACCUGGGAACUGCAUUCAAAACUGACUGACUAGAGUAUGGUAGAGGGUGGUGGAAUUUCCUGUGUAGCGGUGAAAUGCGUAGAUAUAGGAAGGAACACCAGUGGCGAAGGCGACCACCUGGACUAAUACUGACACUGACGUGCGAAAGCGUGGGGAGCAAACAGGAUUAGAUACCCUGGUAGUCCACGCCGUAAACGAUGUCAACUAGCCGUUGGAAGCCUUGAGCUUUUAGUGGCGCAGCUAACGCAUUAAGUUGACCGCCUGGGGAGUACGGCCGCAAGGUUAAAACUCAAAUGAAUUGACGGGGGCCCGCACAAGCGGUGGAGCAUGUGGUUUAAUUCGAAGCAACGCG
This 960-nucleotide ribosomal RNA is filed under the name uncultured bacterium. Its description in RNAcentral is "bacterial SSU rRNA". It matches the Rfam family "Bacterial small subunit ribosomal RNA", at positions 8 to 963 of the family's 1533-position model. The record is from RNAcentral.